Molecule: non-coding RNA, 341 nt
Organism: Ciona intestinalis (vase tunicate)
Lineage: Eukaryota; Metazoa; Chordata; Ascidiacea; Phlebobranchia; Cionidae
Source: RefSeq, a predicted model, not a curated record
GGUGAUUGUUGUAUCUACGUCUUUUAUAAAACAUUUCUUAUAUAUAUAUAUUAUACAGCAUGUCCCAAAAAUGUACUUUUUAAAUGACCACAUCAGCAACAUUUAUUUUAGUACAAAAAAGUUUCAUACGUCAAAAUACUAUGAAGAAAUGCAGAAAGCAGCACAUUAUCUAAAGUGUUUGGAUUGGUGGCCAUUGUGGUACAAACAUAGCGAUAGUGAAUAAAUCUGAAUGAUAAAGUUUCAAAGGAUCAAGUAAGAUGAAGUAUACUAAGGCAGUGCAAACACUUCUUCACAUUGUUUUUCCAGUUCUAAAAAAAUAUUAAACAAUUUUUGAAAAUUCA